Molecule: ribosomal RNA, 258 nt
Filed under: uncultured bacterium
Lineage: Bacteria
Description: partial 16S ribosomal RNA
Rfam family: Bacterial small subunit ribosomal RNA
Source: RNAcentral
UACGUAGGGUGCGAGCGUUUGUCCGGAAUUUAUUGGGCGUAAAGGGCUCGUAGGCGGUCUGUUGCGUCGGGAGUGAAAACUCAGGGCUUAACCCUGAGCCUGCUUCCGAUACGGGCAGACUAGAGGUAUGCAGGGGAGAACGAAUUCCUGGUGUAGCGGUGAAAAUGCGCAGAUAUCAGGAGGAACACCGGUGGCGAAGGCGGUUCUCUGGGGCAUUACCUGACGUGAGGAGCGAAAAGUGUGGGGGAGCGAAACAGG